Molecule: ribosomal RNA, 253 nt
Filed under: uncultured bacterium
Lineage: Bacteria
Description: partial 16S ribosomal RNA
Rfam family: Bacterial small subunit ribosomal RNA
Source: RNAcentral
UACGUAGGGUGCAAGCGUUGUCCGGAAUUAUUGGGCGUAAAGAGCUCGUAGGCGGUCUGUUGCGUCGGCUGUGAAAACCCGGGGCUCAACCCCGGGCCUGCAGCCGAUACGGGCAGACUAGAGUUCGGCAGGGGAGACUGGAAUUCCUGGUGUAGCGGUGAAAUGCGCAGAUAUCAGGAGGAACACCGGUGGCGAAGGCGGGUCUCUGGGCCGAUACUGACGCUGAGGAACGAAAGCGUGGGGAGCGAACAGG